GAUGAACGCUGGCGGCGUGCCUAAUACAUGCAAGUCGAGCGAACAGACGAGGAGCUUGCUCCUCUGACGUUAGCGGCGGACGGGUGAGUAACACGUGGAUAACCUACCUAUAAGACUGGGAUAACUUCGGGAAACCGGAGCUAAUACCGGAUAAUAUAUUGAACCGCAUGGUUCAAUAGUGAAAGACGGUUUUGCUGUCACUUAUAGAUGGAUCCGCGCCGCAUUAGCUAGUUGGUAAGGUAACGGCUUACCAAGGCAACGAUGCGUAGCCGACCUGAGAGGUUGGUGGAGGAGGCGUGAAGGAAGGCACGGUAGACAGGCAAACGGGAGGGAGAAGAAGGGAAGAUUCGGAAAGAGGCGAAAGCCGGAUGAAGCAGUGCCGCAUGAGGGAAGAAGGUCGUAGGAUCGUAGAACUCUUUUAGUAGGGAAGAACAAAGGUGUACGUGACUAUGCACGUCUCAACGGCAGCUGAACAGAAAGCAACGGCUAGCUACGGG
Molecule: ribosomal RNA, 497 nt
Filed under: uncultured bacterium
Lineage: Bacteria
Description: partial 16S ribosomal RNA
Rfam family: Bacterial small subunit ribosomal RNA
Source: RNAcentral